This 86-nucleotide transfer RNA is filed under the name Planctomycetota bacterium. RNAcentral's name for it is "tRNA-Leu". It matches the Rfam family "tRNA". From Rfam's summary of the family: Transfer RNA (tRNA) molecules are approximately 80 nucleotides in length. Their secondary structure includes four short double-helical elements and three loops (D, anti-codon, and T loops). The record is from RNAcentral. Lineage: Bacteria; Pseudomonadati; Planctomycetota.
GCCGAGGUGGCGAAAUUGGCAGACGCGCUAGGUUGAGGGCCUAGUGGGGUUAACGCCCCGUGGAGGUUCGAGUCCUCUCCUCGGCA